This 429-nucleotide ribosomal RNA is filed under the name Bacteroidota bacterium. Its description in RNAcentral is "Bacteroidetes bacterium partial 16S ribosomal RNA". It matches the Rfam family "Bacterial small subunit ribosomal RNA", at positions 355 to 776 of the family's 1533-position model. The record is from RNAcentral. Lineage: Bacteria; Pseudomonadati; Bacteroidota.
UAGGGAAUCUUCCGCAAUGGACGCAAGUCUGACGGAGCAACGCCGCGUGAGUGAAGAAGGAUUUCGGUUCGUAAAACUCUGUUGUUAGAGAAGAACAGCGCAUAGAGUAACUGUUAUGCGUGUGACGGUAUCUAACCAGAAAGCCACGGCUAACUACGUGCCAGCAGCCGCGGUAAUACGUAGGUGGCAAGCGUUGUCCGUAUUUAUUGGGCGUAAAGCGAGCGCAGGCGGUCAAUUAAGUCUGAUGUGAAAGCCCCCGGCUCAACCGGGGAGGGUCAUUGGAAACUGGUUGACUUGAGUGCAGAAGAGGAGAGUGGAAUUCCAUGUGUAGCGGUGAAAUGCGUAGAUAUAUGGAGGAACACCAGUGGCGAAGGCGACUCUCUGGUCUGUAACUGACGCUGAGGCUCGAAAGCGUGGGUAGCAAACAGG